RNAcentral lists this long non-coding RNA (1076 nucleotides) under Homo sapiens (human). RNAcentral's name for it is "non-protein coding HDAC2-AS2:68". Lineage: Eukaryota; Metazoa; Chordata; Mammalia; Primates; Hominidae. The record is from RNAcentral.
AAGCCAGGACCCAUGGAGUCUGAUCUACAACACAAGCAGUAGCAGUUCCACAUCUCCCUACCACCUCUUAUUUCCUACGAAGUCUUUCUGCCUGAAACUGGAAAACCCGAACUAUUAUUGAGGAAGUGAAGCCCUUCCAUUUGAAUCCUGAGAAAGACGCGCUCAAAGAACCCAGCGAACAAAGGAGAGGGUUGGAGCCCACGCAAAACAUGGGUGUGAUAAAGCCACACGCGACCUGAGCCCCCACCCUCAGUAACUACUCUCCAGCGCCCACCGGGAGGAGGGGUCCGGGGAAAGGGUAAGCCGAGGAAGGAGAAGACGCUCCGGCCAGACCGAACGCAGGAUUGGCAUCCUCUGCUUCUGCAGAAAACAUGGCUACCAACAGCUUCUGUAUCCACCUGCGGAGGAGACUGACUGCUCUGUUAUUCCCCCAGCAUCUGUGAAGAGGCUCUGACUGGCUAAAGUGAAGGAGUCUGUAGCUUUAGGGGAAGACAGAGCCACAAGAUGGAAGGAGCUUGGAUGUCUGAACUAUUCCAUGGAGAAAAGCUGCAGCCAACGAAGAACACCUGCAAUGGACUCUUAACCUGGGGGUGACGACAACCACUGAAAUAUGCUGCAUCUUAGUCCAGGGAUUUUUAAAGUGUGGUUCCUGGAAGAGCUGGAUCAGAGUCAUCUGUGUUGAUGGUUUAACAUAAAGAUUUUCGAGCCCCAAGACUCAAGUAGGACAAGGAAUUUGAAUUUUUAAGCAGCUCACCUGACUUGUCUGUCCUCUAAUGUCUGAAGACAUCUGACCUCUGCUCUUUCAGUAAAAGCAACAAUGGUUUUAUGAGCAUUGUCGUCACAUCUCUCCACUCAAGGGAUCCUUCUCAUUUCUCCCAGCUGAGGUCACCCACAGCUGCUGCUUCUAACUGCUGGCUUCCAGCCUGCUGUCUGCCAGCUGGCUCUACCCUCUCCUAUAACACGGCAGAGAGUAGCUGUGGUCUCCUGCGUGCUCACCCUCUGCUCCCUUGGUCCUGCUCCAUGCUUUGGUCCUGCACUUAAAUUUUACAAGCAUACUCUCUUUCUCUUAAGGUAAG